UGCGUAGGCGGAAUAUUAAGUCAGUGGUGAAAUCCUGCGGCUCAACCGUAGAACUGCCAUUGAUACUGAUAUUCUUGAAUGUAGUUGAGGUAGGCGGAAUGUGUAAUGUAGCGGUGAAAUGCUUAGAUAUUACACAGAACACCGAUUGCGAAGGCAGCUUACUAAACUAUGAUUGACGCUGAGGCACGAAAGCGUGGGGAGCGAACCGGAUUAGAUACCCGAGUAGUCC
This 229-nucleotide ribosomal RNA is filed under the name uncultured bacterium. RNAcentral describes it as "partial 16S ribosomal RNA". It matches the Rfam family "Bacterial small subunit ribosomal RNA", at positions 568 to 796 of the family's 1533-position model. The record is from RNAcentral.